GACUCGGUAGUUUAGUUAGUAAAACACUUGCCUAGCGUACAAGGGUCAUGAGUUUAAAUCUCACCUGAGCUG
This is a non-coding RNA of Aedes albopictus (Asian tiger mosquito), 72 nucleotides long. NCBI's taxonomy places the organism in Eukaryota, Metazoa, Arthropoda, Insecta, Diptera, Culicidae. The record is from Rfam.